Chionomys nivalis (European snow vole) is the source of this 130-nucleotide small nucleolar RNA. RefSeq annotates it as small nucleolar RNA SNORA70. Lineage: Eukaryota; Metazoa; Chordata; Mammalia; Rodentia; Cricetidae. The record is from RefSeq and is a predicted model, not a curated record. The transcript has a single exon.
UUGUAGCCAAUUAAGCUGACCAAGUUCUCUUCCCUACAGGGAACCAGUGUAGAAUGAUUGUAAACAUCAACCUUUUUGGUAGUGUGUGCAGACUGUUUUCUAGUUGUUCUAAGGGACCUUGAAAACAAUU